Molecule: ribosomal RNA, 406 nt
Filed under: uncultured bacterium
Lineage: Bacteria
Description: partial 16S ribosomal RNA
Rfam family: Bacterial small subunit ribosomal RNA
Source: RNAcentral
AUUGAACGCUGGCGGUAGGCUUAAUACAUGCAAGUCGAACGAGUGGCGGACGGGUGUGUAAUGUAUGGGGAUCUGCCUGAUGGCGGGGGAUAACUACUGGAAACUGUAUCUAAUACCGCAUACCAUCAGAUGAACCCAUAUGGGAUUAUCUUGUGGGUGAGGUAACGGCUCACCUAGGCGACGAUCCCUAGCUGGUCUGAGAGGAUGAUCAGCCACACUGGGACUGAGACACGGCCCAGACUCCUACGGGAGGCAGCAGUGGGGAAUAUUGCACAAUGGGCGCAAGCCUGAUGCAGCCAUGCCGCGUGUAUGAAGAAGGCCUUCGGGUUGUAAAGUACUUUCAGUCGGGAGGCGUUACCGACAGAAGAAGCACCGGCUAACUCCGUGCCAGCAGCCGCGGUAAUAC